RNAcentral lists this ribosomal RNA (253 nucleotides) under uncultured bacterium. RNAcentral describes it as "partial 16S ribosomal RNA". It matches the Rfam family "Bacterial small subunit ribosomal RNA", at positions 524 to 776 of the family's 1533-position model. The record is from RNAcentral.
UACGUAGGUGGCAAGCGUUGUCCGGAUUUACUGGGCGUAAAGAGCGCGCAGGCGGUCGUUCAAGUCGCGUGUGAAAGCCCCCGGCUCAACUGGGGAGGGUCACGCGAUACUGAUCGACUCGAAGGCAGGAGAGGGUAGUGGAAUUCCCGGUGUAGUGGUGAAAUUCGUAGAUAUUAGGAAGAACACCAGUGGCGAAGGCGGCCACCUGGCUCGGUACUGACGCUCAGGUUCAAAAGCGUGGGGAGCAAACAGG